UACGUAGGGUGCAAGCGUUAAUCGGAAUUACUGGGCGUAAAGCGUGCGCAGGCGGUUUUGUAAGUCUGACGUGAAAUCCCCGGGCUCAACCUGGGAAUUGCGUUGGAGACUGCAAGGCUAGAAUCUUGCAGAGGGGGGUAGAAUUCCACGUGUAGCAGUGAAAUGCGUAGAGAUGUGGAGGAACACCGAUGGCGAAGGCAGCCCCCUGGGUCAAGAUUGACGCUCAUGCACGAAAGCGUGGGGAGCAAACAGG
This 253-nucleotide ribosomal RNA is filed under the name uncultured bacterium. RNAcentral's name for it is "partial 16S ribosomal RNA". It matches the Rfam family "Bacterial small subunit ribosomal RNA", at positions 524 to 776 of the family's 1533-position model. The record is from RNAcentral.